UCUAAGCAUCUUGCUAUCGAAAUGUCUAGGUGUCAAAGUGUUGAGGAGUUAGUCUUAACAAGCAUUUUUACUUAGGCCCAAUGUUAUAGUGUUAGAAGAAUUAUGUAUCUUGGGUUUUCUUUGAGCAAGCAAACCCAGAUCUAUAAAUAUGGAGUAACCCAUAUCAUUGCAACAUAACACAUACUUACAGUUGCAACAAAUACAAUUCUCAGUUUGAGAGCAGAGAGAAACUUUGCAGAAAC
Molecule: long non-coding RNA, 242 nt
Filed under: Lathyrus oleraceus (garden pea)
Lineage: Eukaryota; Viridiplantae; Streptophyta; Magnoliopsida; Fabales; Fabaceae
Description: Pisum sativum (pea) long non-coding RNA (PSAT_LNC014238)
Source: RNAcentral